RNAcentral lists this ribosomal RNA (286 nucleotides) under Foraminifera sp. RNAcentral's name for it is "partial small subunit ribosomal RNA". Lineage: Eukaryota; Foraminifera. The record is from RNAcentral.
AGUUCGUGGAGUGAUCUGUCUGCUUAAUUGCGUUUCACUAAAUUAAUGGGCUUGUAUAAGAUACUUUGUUUGCACACAGAGUUUGUUGCUUUGUAACUUCGGUUGCUCUGCACCUCUGUAGUUGCACGGUAUCUACAAACCUCGCCCAGAAGGCAACGAACGUGACCGCAACAUUUUGUUGCUUCUUCAAUUAUUUUUUUUUAUUAAUUAAUAAUUAAACUCAGAAGCUAACUAAAUGGACCGCUGAAUCUUUUCUAAACAGAGGAAGGUUGCGGCAAUAACAGGU